Molecule: ribosomal RNA, 497 nt
Filed under: uncultured bacterium
Lineage: Bacteria
Description: partial 16S ribosomal RNA
Rfam family: Bacterial small subunit ribosomal RNA
Source: RNAcentral
GAUGAACGCUGGCGGCGUGCCUAAUACAUGCAAGUCGAGCGAACGGACGAGAAGCUUGCUUCUCUGAUGUUAGCGGCGGACGGGUGAGUAACACGUGGAUAACCUACCUAUAAGACUGGGAUAACUUCGGGAAACCGGAGCUAAUACCGGAUGAUAUUUUGAACCGCAUGGUUCAAAAGUGAAAGACGGUCUUGCUGUCACUUAUAGAUGGAUCCGCGCUGCAUUAGCUAGUUGGUAAGGUAACGGCUUACCAAGGCAACGAUGCAUAGCCGACCUGAGAGGGUGUUCGGCCACACUGGAACUGAGACACGGUCCAGACUCCUACGGGAGGCAGCAGCAGGGAAUCUUCCGCAAUGGGCGAAAGCCUGCCGGAGCAACGCCGCGUGAGUGAUGAAGGUCUUCGGAUCGUAAAACUCUGUUAUUAGGGAAGAACAUAUGUGUAAGUAACUGUGCACAUCUUGACGGUACCUAAUCAGAAAGCCACGGCUAACUACGUG